CCUACGGGAGGCAGCAGUGAGGAAUAUUGGUCAAUGGGCGCGAGCCUGAACCAGCCAAGUAGCGUGAAGGAUGACUGCCCUACGGGUUGUAAACUUCUUUUAUAAAGGAAUAAAGUGAGGCACGUGUGCCUUUUUGUAUGUACUUUAUGAAUAAGGAUCGGCUAACUCCGUGCCAGCAGCCGCGGUAAUACGGAGGAUCCGAGCGUUAUCCGGAUUUAUUGGGUUUAAAGGGAGCGUAGGUGGGUUGUUAAGUCAGUUGUGAAAGGUUGCGGCUCAACCGUAAAAUUGCAAUUGAUACUGGAAGGCUUGAGUACAGUUGAGGUAGGCGGAAUUCGUGGAGUAGCGGUGAAAUGCUUAGAUAUCACGAAGAACUCCGAUUGCGAAGGCAGCUUACUAGACUGCCACUGACGGUGAUGCGCGAAAGUGUGGGUAGCAAACAGGAUUAGAUACCCGGGUAGUC
This 460-nucleotide ribosomal RNA is filed under the name uncultured bacterium. Its description in RNAcentral is "partial 16S ribosomal RNA". It matches the Rfam family "Bacterial small subunit ribosomal RNA", at positions 338 to 795 of the family's 1533-position model. The record is from RNAcentral.